CCUACGGGGGGCUGCAGUGGGGAAUUUUGGACAAUGGGGGCAACCCUGAUCCAGCCAUUCCGCGUGAGUGAAGAAGGCCUUCGGGUUGUAAAGCUCUUUUGUCCGGAGCGAAACGGGCGGCCCUAAUACGGUCGUCUACUGACGGUACCGGAAGAAUAAGCACCGGCUAACUACGUGCCAGCAGCCGCGGUAAUACGUAGGGUGCGAGCGUUACGCGGAAUUACUGCAGGUGAAGUGUGAGCACGGGGGUGAAAUCCCCGGGCUCAACCUGGGAAUGGCAUUUGGGACUGCAAGGCUGGAGUGUGGCAGAGGAGACUAGAAUUCCUGGUGUAGCAGUGAAAUGCGUAGAUAUCAGGAGGAAUACCGAUGGCGAAGGCAGGUCCCUGGGUUAACACUGACGCUCAUGCACGAAAGCGUGGGGAGCAAACAGGAUUAGAUACCCCAGUAGUC
Molecule: ribosomal RNA, 450 nt
Filed under: uncultured bacterium
Lineage: Bacteria
Description: partial 16S ribosomal RNA
Rfam family: Bacterial small subunit ribosomal RNA
Source: RNAcentral